Molecule: long non-coding RNA, 841 nt
Organism: Gossypium arboreum
Lineage: Eukaryota; Viridiplantae; Streptophyta; Magnoliopsida; Malvales; Malvaceae
Exons: 3
Source: RefSeq, a predicted model, not a curated record
AUCUAGAUUUUUUGUGAUUUCUCUUCAUUCUCAUAAGCCAAAACGCCAUAGAAGGGGUUCUUUAAGCUGGUAUUUCAUAAUUUUUGCACCAAAUCCAAAAAAUUCAAAUACGAAGCUAGAUCAAGGAAAGGAAAAAGUUCGAGAUUAGUAGAUUUUUGUAUACAAACAAGCAUCGGGUAUUAAGAGCUCGGAGGUCGGAUUCGGUCGGAGACAUAUCACACUAUCAACCUGUAACGGCCUAAUUUUCAGUAGUUUCAGAAACGAUGAUUUGAGAUCACUAAAUCUAACAAGUAAGAUUGAAUAAGAUAGUAAUUUAAUAUUUAUGAGUCAAGUAAGAAUUUAGAAGAAUUGGUGAAUUGGUGAAUUAAAAGAAUUUAUUAAGUCAAAUGGGUCAAAAAUGAGGUAUCGAGACCUUAGAUUUUAAAACCGAGCCAUAAAUAUUUUUAGAAAUAUUUAUGGAGAGCCAUUAAGUUAGUAUUAAAGUUGUUGAGAAAUUUUAACGUUUAGGUAGUCAAUUAAAUAAAAAAGACUAAAUUGUAACAAAUGUAAAAUUUGCUAGAAGGAUUAAAUAGCUUAAGUGUUAAAAGAAAGAGCAUUUAAAGGGAAAUUAAGCCUAAAAGUGAAUUUGUUGGACGACAAGGGCAAGAAAAUCAGCAGAAAAAUAAGGGAAAUAAGGGCAAAAUUAGAAAUUUUAAAAUUUUAACAUAUAAAAUAAGGACAAAUUUGAAAAAUCUAGAGAUCUCUUCAUAUUUUCUCAGCCAAAACGCUAUAGGAGGUCUAGAGAAAGCUAGUUUUUCAUAUUUUUACAUCAUAUCAAGAACCCAAAGAAGAACGAGGAAAA